Molecule: non-coding RNA, 79 nt
Organism: Albula goreensis
Lineage: Eukaryota; Metazoa; Chordata; Actinopteri; Albuliformes; Albulidae
Source: the annotation of a GenBank genome assembly
GGUAGUGUAGCACAGCGGUCAGGGCGUCGGGCUUGCACCUCAAAGGUUGCAGGUUCAAUUCUUAGGUAGGGCACUGCUG